This 1332-nucleotide long non-coding RNA is filed under the name Calidris pugnax (ruff). RNAcentral describes it as "lncRNA (ENSCPUG00000011423.1)". Lineage: Eukaryota; Metazoa; Chordata; Aves; Charadriiformes; Scolopacidae. The record is from RNAcentral.
GCGAAAAAAGCCCAGGUUUUACCCGGGGGGGUGUUUUCGUCACCUCCUCCCCCAGCUUUAGAUCUUCCCUCAGUGGCCUUCAAGAGGAGGAGCUUGUGGAAGGCGCCCAGGUGGUGGGUGGCCACCGUCAGGGGGUGGGUGGCCACCGUCAGGGGGUUGGUGGCAGCGUUGACUUGGUGGGUGGCCACGUUGACUUGGUGGGUGGCCACGUUGACUUGGUGGGUGGCCACGUUGACUUGGUGGGUGGCCACGUUGACUUGGUGGGUGGCCACGUUGACUUGGUGGGUGGCCACGUUGACUUGGUGGGUGGCCACGUUGACCUGGUGGGUGGCCACGUUGACCUGGUGGGUGGUCGAGUUGAAGUGUUGGGUGGCUGCGUUGAGUUGGUUGGUGGCCACGUUGACUUGGUUGGUUGAGUUGAGGUGUUGGGUGGGCGUGUUGACUUGGUUAGUGGCCACGUUGACUUGGUUGGUGGCCACGUUGACUUGGUUGGUUGAGUUGAGGUGUUGGGUGGGCGUGUUGACUUGGUGGGUGGCCACGUUGACUUGGUUGGUGGCCACAUUGACUUGGUUGGUUGAGCUGAGAUGUUGGGUGGCCGCGUUGACUUGUUGGGUGGCCGUGUUGACUUGGCUGGUGGCACCAAGAGGUUGAGUGGCCCCGGCGAGCUGUUGGGUUGCCCCGGCCACGUUCUGGGUGGUCCCGCUGACGUUUUGGGUGGUCCCGGUGACGUUUUGAGUGGUCCCGGUGACGUUUUGCGUGGUUCCACCAAGAUUUUGAGUGGUUCCACCGAGAUUUUGGGCGUUUCCGGCCAGAUUUUGAGUAGCCCCGGCUGGGUUUUGAGUAGCCGCGUUGAGUCUGGUGGCCCCGCUCAACCCUUGGGUGGUCACCGGGGGCGGGAGGAGAAGAUAAUCCAGGUGUUGAGGGACAGGGUGGGGGUUCAUCUGAACGUGGGGGUAUUUUUCUCGGUGGCGGUGAAAAUGAACUUUCAGGUUGCCCCGGGUGGUGAAUCGGUUGCCGCAGACGUUGCACUUGUAGGGUCUCUCCCCGGUGUGGGAGCGGAGGUGGAUUUGCCGAGCGCUUUCGCUCCCGAAGGAUUUGCCGCAGAAGCCACAUUCGUGCCGGGGGGUCCCCAAAUCCGUCGUCGUUGUCGUCGUCCCCCCCCCUCCGAAAUUUUUCGGCCGCAAAAGAUUGGCCGAAGAACCUCCGGUGGCCACCGGUGGGAAAAAGGUAGCCACGGCGUGAGGAGGGUGUGUUUUGAGGCUUCGAUGUUGGGGGGGGGAAGGGAAAUGAGGGAAAAGGUGGAAGAAAUGGGGUUUGGGGGGGUUGGUUUUU